GUCGCGGCCAAGUGGGUCACCGCACGCUCUUUCCCCCACCAUGCCAUGUCUGCCGUGGACUCGUGGCUGUUCUGUGCCAAGCUCGCCCGCCAAUUUAUGAAGGGUUGGGGAGCAAACCUUGGUAGAGACCUCCACGAACGCAAGAAAGCCCUCCUAACUGCCAUCUGGGCCUUGGACACCCGUGUGGACACUUCCAGGAUUUCCACGGAUGAGUGGAUGCUGCGUUAUGAUCUUGAGGAUCAGCUCUCCACCAUCUAUACGGAUGAAGAAGCUUACUGGAGGCUCUGUGGUACCCAAUGAUGGGUGCUUCGGGGAGACACUAAUACAGCAUACUUCCAGGCGGCCGCGAAUGGGCGGCGAUGACGGAACUCCAUCCAUUGCCUUUGGGAUGGAGAUUCCUAGCUUGUCCGCCCAUCGGACAUUCGUGCACACGUAGAUGGCUUUUACAAAGACCUAUUCUUCCCCACCCCUUAG
Molecule: ribosomal RNA, 474 nt
Filed under: Triticum aestivum (bread wheat)
Lineage: Eukaryota; Viridiplantae; Streptophyta; Magnoliopsida; Poales; Poaceae
Description: partial small subunit ribosomal RNA
Source: RNAcentral